AUAUUGCACAAUGGGCGCAAGCCUGAUGCAGCCAUGCCGCGUGUAUGAAGAAGGCCUUCGGGUUGUAAAGUACUUUCAGCAGUGAGGAAGGGGUGUGUGUUAAUAGCGCACAUCUUUGACGUUAGCUGCAGAAGAAGCACCGGCUAACUCCGUGCCAGCAGCCGCGGUAAUACGGAGGGUGCGAGCGUUAAUCGGAAUUACUGGGCGUAAAGCGCAUGCAGGUGGUUUGUUAAGUCAGAUGUGAAAGCCCGGGGCUCAACCUCGGAAUAGCAUUUGAAACUGGCAGACUAGAGUACUGUAGAGGGGGGUAGAAUUUCAGGUGUAGCGGUGAAAUGCGUAGAGAUCUGAAGGAAUACCGGUGGCGAAGGCGGCCCCCUGGACAGAUACUGACACUCAGAUGCGAAAGCGUGGGGAGCAAACAGG
RNAcentral lists this ribosomal RNA (423 nucleotides) under uncultured bacterium. Its description in RNAcentral is "bacterial SSU rRNA". It matches the Rfam family "Bacterial small subunit ribosomal RNA", at positions 361 to 776 of the family's 1533-position model. The record is from RNAcentral.